RNAcentral lists this long non-coding RNA (663 nucleotides) under Capra hircus (goat). RNAcentral's name for it is "lncRNA (ENSCHIG00010027419.1)". The record is from RNAcentral. Lineage: Eukaryota; Metazoa; Chordata; Mammalia; Artiodactyla; Bovidae.
CAAAGUCCUUCCUUUAGAUAUGAGCUUAUUGGAUUUAAUAUAUAAUAAAACACAAAGUUAAAGAAUCUGCAACCCAGUGUUAAUAACAAAAAGAACCCAGCCCAGUUUACAUUAGAGGGUCAGCAUUGAUCUAUAUAUUUUAAUGUACUCUGGAUUUUAUUCUGCAAACUAACAGAUGACUAAGAGUAUUUGGAUAAUUUAAAAGCCUGACUUUUAUGCUGUUCUUAUGUUAUACUGAAAUGUGGCUGUUUGUUGUGCAUUAUCAAGGUCCACCAGGUCCAGAAGGUCCCCGGGGUCUACCUGGAAGUGGGGCUAUUAAAGGAGAAAGAGGUAACCCAGGCCAACCUGGGCAACCUGGUUUGCCUGGUUUAAAAGGUGAUCAAGGUCCUCCAGGACUCCAGGUAGGAAAUAGGAGUAGAUAUUUGAUGAGAAAUGGAUGUAGGUGUUUGCAUUCAAAACGAAAAUUCCAAACUGCAUUGUUUUAAUUCGCAUUUACUAGUCAAGGCUCUUUGCAUGGCUUACUGGUGAAGUACAGAGAAAAAGGCAAGUUUCCUGUCUUCUACCAACGAAAGGGACUUUGCUACCUUAUAGUUAAAGGGUUCCCCAACAGAUAGUUUUAACUGGAGUUCUUGGUGUGUAUAGAUUUUAAUUUCAGAAACUUUG